CUAGUUUAUCCUGCUAGAGGUUGCGGCUAUUCGGAUUCCGCUUAGCCAUGCAAGUUACCUUCGCAAGAAGGAGCGAACCGCUCAGUAACACGUAGUCAAUCUGCCCUAAGAUUAAAGAUAACCUCGGGAAACUGAGGCUAAUAUUUGAUAGACGAAAGAGGCUGGAAUGCGCUUUCGUUGAAACGCAAGGUCUUAGGAUGAGACUGCGGCCGAUUAGGUCGUUGUUGAGGUAAUGGCUCAACAAGCCGAUGAUCGGUAAGGGCUCUUAACGGAGAGGCCCUGAGAAGGAUUCUGAGACACUAAUCCUAGCUCUAUGGAGUGCAGCAGGCGGGAAAAUUUUCCAAUGUUCGAAAGAAUGAGAAAGGAAUCCGAAGUGUUCCUCUUAGAGGAACUUUUCUGAACUGUAAACAGGUUCAGGAAUAAGGACUGGGCAAGACUGGUGCCAGCCGCCGCGGUAAUCCCAGCAGUCCAAGUCGCAGCCGCAUUUAUUAGGUCUAAAACAUUCGUAGCUCGUCUCGCAAAUUCUUUGUGAAAUCGUUGCGCUUAACGUAACGGCGUGCAGGGGAGACUGUGAGGCUAGAGACCGGGAGACUUAACGAGUACAGGUGAGGUAGCGGUUAAAUGUUUUAAUCUCAUCUGGACUAACAAUGGCGAAGGCACGUUACGAGAACGGAUCUGACAGUGAGGAAUGAAGGCCAGGGGCGCAAAAUGGAUUAGAUACCCAUGUAGUCCUGGCUGUAAACACUACUUACUAAACAUUGUGUUCUCCUAGAGAGAAUGCAGUGCUGAAGGGAAGCUGUAGAGUAAGUUACCUGGGGAGUACAGUCGCAAGACCGAAACUUAAAGGAAUUGGCGGGGGGACACACAAGGGGUGACGCGUGCGGUUCAAUUAGAUUCUACCCCGUGAACCUUACCAGGAGCGACAGCAGGAUGAAGGUCUGUCUGAAUGGCAAACCUGACACGCUGAGAGGAGAUGCAUGGCCGACGUCAGCUUGUGCCGUGAGGUGCCCUGUUAAAUCAGGUAACAAGCGAGACCUGCAUGUAUAAUUGCUACUUGGAGAAAGAGCACAUUGUACAGACUGCCUCAGUAAUGAGGAGGAAGGUGCAGUCAACGUUAGGUGAGUACGUCCCGAAUCCCCUGCCUACACGCGCGCAGCAAUGCUACGUGCAAUGAGAUGCGACUCUGAAAAGAGAAGCUAAUCCCUUAAUACGUAGCCUAGUUCGAAUUGAAGAUUGCAAUUCAUCUUCAUGACGCUGGAAUCCCUAGUAAUCGGGUGUUAUCAACGUCCGGUGAAUAAGUCCCUGUUCCUUGCACACACUGCCCAUCAUUCCAACCGAGUUAUGUUUGGGUGAAAUCCGAAAGGAGUGAAUCCAGAUAUGGCGAGGUAGGACAAGUUGUCACAAGGUA
This 1408-nucleotide ribosomal RNA is filed under the name metagenome. RNAcentral describes it as "bacterial SSU rRNA". It matches the Rfam family "Archaeal small subunit ribosomal RNA". The record is from RNAcentral.